UACGUAGGGGGCAAGCGUUGUCCGGAAUUAUUGGGCGUAAAGGGCGUGUAGGCGGUAUCGUAAGUCAGAUGUGAAAGUUUGAGGCUUAACCUCAAAAUUGCAUUUGAAACUGCAAUACUUGAGUACUGGAGAGGUAAGUGGAAUUCCUAGUGUAGCGGUGAAAUGCGUAGAUAUUAGGAGGAACACCAGUGGCGAAGGCGACUUACUGGACAGUUACUGACGCUGAGGCGCGAAAGCGUGGGGAGCAAACAGG
Molecule: ribosomal RNA, 253 nt
Filed under: uncultured bacterium
Lineage: Bacteria
Description: partial 16S ribosomal RNA
Rfam family: Bacterial small subunit ribosomal RNA
Source: RNAcentral